CUCCAGACUUCCUCAGUUAACAGCUCACAGUGUGAACAGCAGCGUGCAUAAGGAGCACAAUGAGAGUGACUCCGAAAAAAAAGAGGAAUUCCGACCUAAAUUCAUUGGGAGUAUGGGUGCAGAACCAUCUGUUCUUUCUGAUAGCCCAGCAGCUCGACAAUACAUCUACACCUCUGCAGCCCAAAGAGCUUAUGAGGAUGUAGACUGGGACUUCAAGUUACCUCCUCGCCUCAAACCGCC
This 240-nucleotide long non-coding RNA is filed under the name Sinocyclocheilus grahami. RNAcentral's name for it is "lncRNA (ENSSGRG00000019914.1)". The record is from RNAcentral. Lineage: Eukaryota; Metazoa; Chordata; Actinopteri; Cypriniformes; Cyprinidae.